Molecule: ribosomal RNA, 200 nt
Filed under: uncultured bacterium
Lineage: Bacteria
Description: partial 16S ribosomal RNA
Rfam family: Bacterial small subunit ribosomal RNA
Source: RNAcentral
GAUGAACGCUAGCGGCAGGCCUAACACAUGCAAGUCGAGGGGCAGCAUAAGGAUAGUUUACUAUUCUGGUGGCGACCGGCGCACGGGUGAGUAACGCGUAUGCAACCUACCCUGUACAGGGGGAUAGCCCGAAGAAAUUCGGAUUAAUACCCCAUGGUAUUGAGACAUCGCCUGAUGUUUUAAUUAAAGGUUACGGUACA